UACGUAGGGUGCAAGCGUUGUCCGGAAUUAUUGGGCGUAAAGAGCUCGUAGGCGGUUUGUCGCGUCUGCUGUGAAAACCCGCGGCUCAACUGCGGGCCUGCAGCCGAUACGGGCAGGCUAGAGUUCGGUAGGGGAGACUGGAAUUCCUGGUGUAGCGGCGAAAUGCGCAGAUAUCAGGAGGAACACCGGUGGCGAAGGCGGGUCUCUGGGCCGAUACUGACGCUGAGGAGCGAAAGCGUGGGGGGCGAACAGG
RNAcentral lists this ribosomal RNA (253 nucleotides) under uncultured bacterium. Its description in RNAcentral is "partial 16S ribosomal RNA". It matches the Rfam family "Bacterial small subunit ribosomal RNA", at positions 524 to 776 of the family's 1533-position model. The record is from RNAcentral.